RNAcentral lists this unclassified non-coding RNA (683 nucleotides) under Hevea brasiliensis (rubber tree). The record is from RNAcentral. Lineage: Eukaryota; Viridiplantae; Streptophyta; Magnoliopsida; Malpighiales; Euphorbiaceae.
CUAUUAGGAAAAUACACAAGGCAUUAGACUGGGAGGAUAUUGAACUGGUAGAACUUCUCUUGUGGGAAUCUAAUGUAACACUGGACGAUGCCAAUUCUCUUCAUUAUGCUGUUGCAUACUGUGACAGCAAGGUUGUACUCGAGUUGCUUCGCCUUGAUUUUACUGAUGUCAACCGUAGAAAUUCACAAGGUUACACACCUCUUCACAUUGCAGCAAUGCGUAGAGAACCAUCAAUCAUUGUGUCUCUCCUAAUAAAAGGGGCUAGUGCUUCAGUCUUAACAUUUGAUGGGCGAAGUGCUCUUAGCAUCUGUCGAAGAUUGACUAGCAUAAAAAAUUAUAAUGCUAAAACAGAGCGGGGUCAGGCAACAAAUAAAGACCGACUAUGCAUUGAUAUUUUAGAGAGAGAAAUGCGGAGAAACCCCAUGGCUGAUGAUGCUUCCAUCACUUCCCAAGAUGCUGUAGAUGAUACUUUUGAUUUGAAUCUAUAGCCUGUUUGCUAAAGAUGAUUCAUGUCUCUCUUUGUUAGCAACGCGUACUACUACUCGGGUAGUAAACCAAGCUGUUCUAUUUGAUUUGUUUAUAAGACCAAGUUAUGCUGCUUGAUUUCCAUUAUCCAAUUAAAUUUAAAAAUAAACAAUAUAAAUAUUUCCCUCUCAUCCGUAUAUAUAUAUAUAAAUAUUUCC